This 17607-nucleotide long non-coding RNA is filed under the name Populus trichocarpa (black cottonwood). RNAcentral's name for it is "long non-coding RNA (PTRI_LNC000772)". The record is from RNAcentral. Lineage: Eukaryota; Viridiplantae; Streptophyta; Magnoliopsida; Malpighiales; Salicaceae.
GGGCCCGUGGGAUUAGUCGAGAUACGCGCAAGCUGGCCUGGACACCCACGUUAAACUAAAAAAAAAAAUUGUAAUCCUGGUUUUCUUCUUAAUUUUCCAAUUGCUAUUGUUUUGUAGUUGCAGAUUUUUUUUAAAAAAAAUUAAAAUUUAUGAUUGGUAUUGAAUGUUUUUUUUACACCCAACUCAAGUUAAAAAACGAGUCAGCCAAAUCCAAAACUGGCCAUUAAAUUAGGUUGGGUUUAGUAGAAGUGCUCCAGUUUAUUGGAGGGUGUUUGAAAGUGUGGUUGCGGUUGUUUUUCAAAAUAUUUUUUACUCGGAAAAACAUCAAAAUAAUAUUUUUUUUAUUUUUAAAAGAUUAUUUUUGACAUUAGCGCAUCAAAAUGAUCUUAAAACACCAAAAAAUAUUAAUCUAAAAUAAAAAAAAUAAUUUUUUUAAUUUUUUUUUAAAAACACAAAAAUAAACAUGAUUUAAAUAAACAUAUCCACCAUCACCAGCAAUCAUGGAGUGCAAGUCUUGGAAAGGAAGCAUUGAACGUUAGGAUAGGAAGUAUUAGUAAAUAUAAUAACAUAUUUCCAUUAUUUAGAGCUUGUAAUGUUUUUUUAAUUAAUAUGGAUGUUCAAAUCAACUUACACGCACCUCGAUUAAUCCUACGGGUCCUGAAGUCAACGACCAUGUAAAUCUCUAAUGACCUUGAGAUUUGUAGAACUUGAACUAGUAAUUUUUAGAAAACAAACCUAGAACUCGAUACUUAUUUAAAGCAUGGAUUUUUGCUCUUGGCCAGAAUUAUAUAUAUUCUUUGUACUCUUAACCCAACAAAUUCCAUUAAUAUUAGAGACGAAAUAUUUCCUUAUAUAUAAAAUAAAAUAAAAUAGAGACGGAAUUGACAGGAAUGCUUAUUUAAUUACUUGUACUUUUCGUUCAAAUUUGAAUCAUAAAAGAGGUACGUAGUAAAAAUAUAAUUUCCAUGGAUAUAUUAAUUUAAUUCAAAUGUAGAUGACUUUAUUUAGGAUCCGAUCACUAAAGAAUUUAGUUUUGUAUUCAAAAUAUAAUUUAAUUAAAAAUAUAAUGUUGAAAAGCACCCUUAUAUAGUUGAAUAAAUAAAAUAAAUUUAGAAAAGAGCUCCUAGGGCAGAGGCUAUGGGGUAGUCUUUUUAAAAGUCCACUUUCACAUAAAAUCUGAUCCAAAGGAUAAUAAAUAAAUAUGAUCGAAAUGCAUGGUCGGUCCAGCAAUCAAGAUUUCGUGAGAAUCCGAAUCAUGUUGAUGGCACUACUCCCUUUCACAUUUAUUAUUAUUAUUAUUAUUAUUAUUAUUACUGUUUACUCAGAUUCAUUUCCACAGUGCUACAGCUGGCUUGAAAUUUCUUUUUACAACAAUUGUUUUUGAAAUUAAUAUAAUUAAGUUUCAUCUCUACUUAGCUAGAUUAAUUGAGUUUGAUUAUGUUAAUUUUUAAAUCAAUUUAAAAUAAAACUCGAUUUAAAUUAAGUUUUAAAUUAACAAAUUACUAGAUUUAUCUUCGUUAUAAAAACAUGUUAAUUUUUAGGAUAAACAAAACUCAAUCCCCAACCUAUAUAGUAAAUCACAAAUCAAUCCUCAACUUUCAACAUUAUGUAGAUUUUGGCUCAAAAUUCAUUAGGAGAACUCAUUAAUUCAUCCCUUAGUUUAGCACUAAAAUUCCAUUAUUUAAUUAAUUCCAUUAUUUAAUUAUGCUAGCUGAAAUUUUAGAUUCAGCUCACUUCAUUUUCUUACAAAAUUUAAAUUCCCAACAACACAAUUAAAAUGAGAUAUAGAAGAUAGCAAUCUCGACAUUUCCUUCACCAUUCUAAUGCCACUAUUAUAAAACUCGAAUGAUUUUGAUAGGUCAAUUCAGAACUUGGUUGACUUGAAAUCUCGAUCAAUUUAUACUUAACAAAAAAUAAAAAAAUAAAUUGAUUUGAAUAACUUAGUUAAAAUUAAUUAAUUUUUUCAAAAUAAUAUGAUUUUAACUUAUUUUUUUAUUUAAAAAAAUAAUCUGGGUCAAGCCUACAAUGCAAAAGUUGUAGCCCGUUACCACAUUUGUUUUAUAACAUGUGAUUCCAACUUUAUCCAGACUCGAUCUUGAAUAAAGUUUAAUAACUAUGAAAAAAACCUUCAUCACUAAAACAAAUGGAAAAAAAAAAAAAAACUGUACACAAUGAGCCUUCCUGACAAAAUAGCAUCUUAAAUAAAAAGUUUCUUCUAGAAUCUGAAUGUCCAUUAAAAAUAAUGUCCAUUAAAAAAUAUGGUUAAUAUGGUAAUUUUCAAAGAAUGAUGUUUUGAUAUUGAAGUCCUUCUCAAUCAUUUUUCAGAGAUUUGUUUUUCAUAAAUUAUAAAAUGUCAAUAUUGUACACAAAUUUUUUUUUUUUUUUGGAAUAAAUCCGCGAUGAAUUUGUAUUUAUCCCUUGUUUUCUAUUCGGGAAAUGAUGCAACUAACACGAAAUUAACACAAAGGAGCCAUAGCUUCCUUCCAUUGGAGAAUCAUUAAAUAAGACAGGUCAUAGUGCCAUAAGCCAUGUUCAUACUCUCUCUCUCUCUCUCUCUCUGCAUGGAAAUGUGUCUGAUAUAACCACAACAACGGUUAAUUUGCCUCCUCUCCCACUUAAACACCAAGCCUUUCGAUAGAUCCAUCAAAGCCUCCUUCUCUACGUCCAAGGUCUGUGCUGCAGACAUGCCCAGAUCCUAUUUAGCCAGGUAUUUAUUUAAUUUGCUGUUUUAUCCAAAACAUCUGCUUCUUCAUGAGCGCUAGCAUGCCCAUAAACAUUACUAGCCAUGCCAUUUUAUCCCCUCGUUUUCUAAUUAUCUUCUGCUGAAAACUAUAGAGGGCUCAAGUUUAUUGCUGAUGAUGUGUUGAGGAAGCAAGGAAGAAAUUAUUAUUCAACUGGUGGUUGCAGAAGGUAAGUUCAUCAUCUUCCCAGCUAGCUUAUUUAUAGAUCACUCAUGACUCUAAAUUGGAGUUGCAAGUGAUGUUUUCUUGAUUCAUACCAUUUGUGUAUAUAUACAUGGUUGAUGUUAAACCAAAUUUAAAGCUUAAUUUUCUGGAUGAGUUUCUAAGAAUUCUUGGUUGAAUCAUCCCAGGAUUCAUGCCUGAUCAUCACCUUGAUUAGUUAAUUAGCUAGGCUCACGAGUAAUGCUAUUUUUUAAAAAAAUUCCUUUUGAAUUUCUCGUGGGAAGAUUUCCGCCAUUGAAUAUAUUCUGCUGAAUGGGAUUUGAUUUAAAAAAAAACGUAUUUAUUGGAUGUGUAUGAAUCUUAUAAUAAAAAAGAAUUUCUUGAAAUGAUUUCGAAAAACUCUGUAGUAAAAUUGAUUAAUUCCUUGCUCUGAUUCCUCAGUUUAUGUGUGUGGAUGAAUUGACACCGUUUGGGAAUACGGGUGUAAAUCUCGUUUCUAAAACAAUUUAAUUUAUUUUGCUAAAAUUUAAUAUAUUUUAUAUGUUUUAAAUCGUUGUAAUAUCCUGAUAUCAAAAAUAAUUUUUUUUUUUUAAAAAAAUUAUUAACAUGUAUUUUAGCAUGAAAAAUUAUUUGAAAAGCAACCACAACUACAACCACACUGUAAACAAAAUUAAUAAAUCCUAAACCUCCUUCUACUCAACCUAGUUCAUAUAAAAAGUUAAUUGUUGCAAUUUUCAGUCUUAUCUUAUUAAUUGAUUUUUUUUUUUAUUAACGCUACCAGUCUAGGUAUCCCGGUGAGGACGUGAGAAAUAUUUUAAAAAUUAUGAAUAAUUUAUUCACGAGUCACCUUCAAGUUAUAAAAACAAAACAGAGUUGACUAACAGCCUCCACCACGCGGGCAAGCUUUUGCAACGUGAUGUUUGCUCAGAAAAUUGCCAUAAAUGUUGCAUCCUUCCAUGUUCUCAUUCCGCUGAUCUAGCUAGGCCACCACUUUUACAACUCUUAUGGCCAAAAUGCCUGCCUAUUCUUGUUCACAAAUCCUUUCAAGAGUACUGGUGGGCAAAUUAGAUGCAACCUUGUUUUGUUGGACUUUUUUCUGCGCAAAUAUAUAUAUAUAUAUAUAUAUAUAUAUAUAUAUAUAUAUAUAUUCAUUAAACAAAUAUAUAUAUAUAUAUAUAUAUAUAUAUAUAUAUAUAUAUUCAUUAGACAAAUCGAUCUAACUUUGUAGGUUAACCCGAGAACUUGUUGAUCCAAAACUUGACAUGAAUAUCUAACCGAUCUAACUUUAUAGGUCAACUCGAGAAUUUGUUUACCCAAAACUUGACAUGGGUUGGAGUUGUCAUUGAACUGGAUUGAUAAUUAACCUAUGUAAACUCAAAAUGAUCUGAUAAGGAUUAGAUUAAUACAAUCAAACCGGAUUCAAAUCUGGUCGAAACCCAAUUAAUUACUUAUUUUAUUUUUUAUUUUUUUAUAUUUAAAAUAAUAUAAUCAUCUUUAAGAUGUAAUUAGAUUGAUUCACCUAUUUUCUAAAUUGAAAAGACGUACGUCAAUAUCAAAGCAAUAUUCAGUACAAAACACAAAUUUGUAUUAGCAUAUUGUUUAUUGAGCUUUGCGCGCACACAUAUUUUAUCUCCGAGCAGGCUAGAAGGCAAGGUGGCUUUAAUAACAGGAGGUGCGAGUGGCAUUGGCAAGACCGCAGCCCACGAAUUCAUCAAGCAUGGAGCACAAGUCAUAAUCGCUGACAUGGAUUCACAAAUUGGUCCACAAGCUGCCAAAGAGCUGGGUCCUGCAGCCCACUUUGUCCAGUGCGACGUCACAGUGGAGGCUCAGCUGGAAAAGGCAGUGAUGAUUGCCAUGACAGACUAUGGGAAACUUGACAUAAUGUACAACAACGCAGGGGUAGCAGGGCCAUCUUUUCCACCGAGCAUCGCAGACCUUGAUCUAAAUGAAUUUGACAAGGUCAUGCAAGUCAAUGUCAGAGGCACGGUGGCGGGGAUAAAGCACGCCGCACGAGCGAUGAUACCUGCAGGCUCAGGGUGUAUUCUCUGUACAUCUAGUAUCAGUGGACUCAUCGGCGGGGCUGGCUCGCAUUCGUACUCAGCGUCAAAAUCUACAAUCCCUGGGGUUGUCAAGUCUGUGGCCAGCGAGCUAUGCAGGAAUGGGAUUAGGAUCAACUGCAUUUCACCGGGUCCGAUUCCGACCCCACUCUCCUUGGCUCAGAUAGGCCUGAUUUAUCCACGCGCCACCCAAGAACAGUUGGUUGAGAUCGUGAAUGGGCUAGGGCAGCUGAAGGGGGCUAAGUGUGAAGGAGCAGAUGUGGCCGAAGCUGCUCUGUAUUUGGCAUCAGAUGAAGCAAAGUACGUAACUGGGCAUAACCUUGUUGUGGAUGGAGGGUUCACCUGCUUUAAAGAUCUUCCAUUCCCUUCUCCUCAUGAGAUUCUGUAACUGAUAUUUUCCAUUUUCACACCUUUUGGCUUGAUCAUCAAUCACUUUGAGGUGUUUUUUUUUUUUUUUUUAAAUGUUUGAAUUAAUUUAUAUAAACUUUGAUUAAUUUUCCAGACUCUAAAAUUAACCAAUAUAUAAACCUUCAAAAUUUAUAUUACUGGAACUUAUUUCUUGUGAACCUUAAAAAACAACUGCAUGAAAAUCCAUAAAGGCCAUAAAAUAAUAUAAAUUUAUAGGGAGUGCGGUGAGAAUUGCCAUUUAAAAUGUUUUAAAUUUAAAAAUAUAUUAAAAUAAUAUUUAUUUUUAUUUUUUAAAAAUUAUUUAUAACAUCACUUAAUUAAAAUAAUUAUUUUAAACAAAAAAAAAUAGAUUUUUUUAUCCUAAAUACUGCUAUUGGUAGCAUACCAAAAACCAUUCAUACUAAAAGUUCAAACCAUUAAUUACCAUGAGAUUCCAGGACAUCGUUAUAUAUUACUAGCUUACAAGUGUUAAAUUUCGUUUUCUUGGCAUUUUCUUAAUGAUAUAUAGAGAUCCAUAAUCAGAAAAAAAAUUAAUGGUUUGAACUUUUAGUAUGAAUGAUUUAGUUUUUAUAAAAAAAUUUAAAAUAUAUUAAAAUAAUAUUUUUUAUUUUUAAAAUUUAUUUUUAAUAUCAAUACAUUUAAACAAUUUAAAAAUAUAUAUAUUUUUUAAUUUUUAAAAAGAACAGCAAAAACAAAUGGUUUAAUCUCUAGGGUAGGGGUGAUCAUUUUCGGUUUGGUUCGGUUUUUAUAAAAAAAAACCAAACCGAUUUUUUUUUUUAAAAAAACCAAAAUCGGUUCAAACAGACCGGUUUCGGUUCGGUUUUUUAGGACAAAAAUCAGUUCAAACUGGUUUGGCUCAGUUUUGGCUAGGUUUUUUCCGGUUUGGCUCGGUUUUGACUCGGUUUGGCUCGGUUUUUUUUCAGUUUGGAUUCGAUUUGAUUCAGUUUUUUUGGUUUCAGGCUUCUAAAACCGAACCGGUUGAUUUUUUUAAAAUUUUAAUCGGUUUUUUUUCACAGUUAGGUUUUUUCAGUUUUUUUUUUUAGUUUUCUCAGUUUUUUGGUUUUUUUGCUCACCCUCGUGUGUGAGUGGAACUCAUGAUUUUAAAAACUACCUGAAAAAAAAAGGGUUUUUUUUAUAAAUUAUACUUACUUAUCCUUAAAUCAUCAAACAUACAAAAUUGAUUUAAUUAUCAGGCUAUCCUUUGUUUCAUGAGAAAUUUGUUUUGCAAAAUCAUCGAAGACUCAUAUUUUAUUAGUUAGAAAAAUUCAUUUUUGUUUGAAGUUUUCCACGACUUCAUAUUAUAUAUAUAUAAUUUAUUAAAUAAUAUAAUAAAUCAUGAUAUAUAUUAUAUACAACCAAACAUUAUAUUAUAAAUUUAAUAAAGUCCAAAGCAUAACCCAUUGGCUAUUCGAAGAGCUUUUCCUUGUUCGCAAGAGAGGAAUUGUCGGCCUUGGUAGCCUUGACCGACAUCGAGGUCCACGUGGUAAAUAUUUUAUUCAACCCCUUGGACUUUGAAAAGCAACCACGACGCUGUAAACAAACUCUAUGGACACAGUUGAUUUUCAUGACAGGAUCUUUCUCUACCGUUUGAUUUAUCCUACAGGAUCUAACGUGAGGAAUUUAUUAACACGGUCUACAAUCCCCGCCAUCGGAUUCAGCUGAAACCACGGGAGGGCUCUAAAAUUAAUAGAGUAAAUUACUCUUUCAGUCCUUCAGUUUUUGACUCGGUUACAACUCAGUUCUUCUUACUUGAAAACAUGUAACCCAAUCCCCUAGACUCACUCUUGAUUAUUUUUUUAUUUUUUUUUUUUGAAAUCUCAAUUUGACUGGAAAAAAUUAUUAUCCACCUGGUCUCUUCACACAUACAUAACCUAGUCUUAUGUAACUUGUUUGGGAUUAUAGUAAUAUUGGCGGUUCAAAAUAUUUUUCGCUUAGAAAUACAUCAAAAUAAUAUUUUUUUAUUUUUAAAAUUUAUUUUUGAGAUUAGCACAUCAAAACGAUUUAAAAAUAUAAUUUUUUUUUAAAAUUUUAAAAAACAUAAUUUGCACCACAUCAACCGACUAGCUUUUGUUGGUGCUUCUUGCUAGCAGCAAUUUCUCCUCCUUUUUUAUAAUCUUAAAUUAAAGUAUUUUUUAUUCUUCGUGUCAUUAAAAAAUAAUUAUUUAAAAAAAUAAUUUUGUCAAAGUUUUAACUAUUUAUUGUAAUUAUUUGUUGUUUUAUCUUUUCUUUUUUUAAUAUAUUGACUUUUUAAAUGAUUAAAUGAGAUUGACAUAAAUCAUAAUAUUAUAAUUCAUUUAUUUAAAUAGUUAAAUUAUUUAGUAUCCGUUUAUUUAUGCUGGCAAUCAUUGUUGGCCGCAAAAACAGACAAGCACUUUAGUCCAAGGUUUAGAGAAAAUUGAAAAUGAGUAAAAAGGACUAAUUUAUAACUUUUCAAAUAUGAAGCAUUGAAUUUAAUACUAUAUUAAUUAAAAAUGAAAAAAAGGUAAAGACCAGACCGAGAUUGAGGGAAAGAAAGAAGGAAAGGCGCCGCCGUGCUGGUUUUCGUUUAAAUUUUUCGAAUCGCAUUUUGCUUCCUCUGGCGCCGCCUUCGUGCUGGUUCUCGUUUUCGAUUUGUCUUUUUCUGCCUCUGGCGUUCCUGCGCAGCUCGAAAGUUUUCUACCUUUCGCUUUCAUUUCUUCUCUAGAUCUCUCUAGAGCAAUCCAUCCAUCGGCUUUCUCAUUCAUUUCUAGCAUUGCUACCACGUUUCCCUCUCGAAGGUACUUGUUUCUCUGCUCGUAUUGUUAUCGAUCUUGUCGUCCUUUUGAUCAUCAAUCUGUCCUGCUAGAUUUUUCCCCGAAAUGAUCGAUUGACUCGGUAAAUAAUUCGUUCUUUUUGCUUGCUAGAUAGAUACCGUUGCUCCACAGGAAAAUUCUCUUAUUUGUCGACUCGAAACUGCAACGAUAACACACUAUAAUGGCAAACGCAUUGCAAUUUUCGGCGACUGUACAAGCUGCCUCCCCUGUUUUCUCCAAGAGGAUGCAUUGCCAAUCUUUACGGCACAGGCCGUCGCCGCCGCUUAAUUAUAAUUUAGUGGCUACAAGUUUGGUACUGUCAAAAAGAAGUCGUAGAGCCUUUAAAGUGAGCUGUGAGGCAGCCAGUGUUGAUCUACUUGAAACGAACAAAAUCGAUAAUGAAGCCGAGAAGAAAAUAACAUGCGUAAUGAAGUUCGGUGGUUCUUCGGUGGCGUCUGCCGAGAGAAUGAGAGAAGUGGCUGAACUUAUACUUAGCUUUCCAAAUGAGAGCCCUGUCAUUGUACUUUCUGCCAUGGGAAAGACCACUAACAAACUUUUGCUGGUAUGCCUGCCUGCCUGCCUGUACUUUGAUUUUCUGUUGUUUUAUUUAUUUUUCGAGGGGAAAUUUUUUUUAAUAUGGUCAACUUAAUUAUAGGCUGGAGAGAAGGCUGUUAGUUGCGGUGUUACUAAUGUAGAUAGUAUUGAAGAGCUGAGUUUCAUAAAGGAAUUGCAUAACCGGUGAGGAUUUUGAUUUUUGCUUCUUUUUUACUUUUAUUAUUGUUCCACGAACCAUAUAAUUCAAUUGAUAUUAUUCUAUCAUAUCAGGACCGUGAAGGAACUGGAAGUAGACGAGUCGGUUAUUGCAAGUGAGUAUCUGUUGGCACUCAUUUGUUUUUAAUGCUUCAAACUUGGUCUGCAGCCGAAAAGUAUUAUGAAGUUCUUCUACUUUUUAGAUAGAUAGUAUUGUAGCUGUAAUUUAUAAACUAUUAUAGAGGCAGGGAGGGGGAAUCGUAGAAUCAAGUUGUUCUUGUAAUUACAAAGCCAGCGAUGCUAGGACUCAUACUAUUUCCUUUAUCAAUUCUUUAGCCUCAUGGACAAGUGGAAACCUCUCAUGCUGCUCCUUUUGCAGAACACUUGGAGGAAUUAGAGCAGCUGUUGAAGGGAAUUGCUAUGAUGAAAGAGUUGACUCCACGCACUAGAGAUUACCUUGUUUCUUUUGGGGAGUGCAUGUCCACAAGGAUUUUUGCUGCAUAUAUGAAUAAAAUUGGUGCUAAAGCUCGCCAAGUACGCAGUUCUCUUCUUCUCUCCCCUUUUCCUUUUUUAAACCAUCUUAAUCUGAAUGAUUGUUGUCAUUGCUUGUAAAGAUUUCUUGCUAAGCUGCUUAUUGAAUCCACAUGCCUACAACGACAACUAGAUAUUUUAAAUCAAACAUCUGUUGAUCUCCAUUUUCUGUAAUUGCUUAUACAGUAAUCAUUCAACCACGCUGAAAAACAGCAGCAGAACAAUUUGUUUGGAGUCUACUCAUACUUGGUUCCACUUUCUUUCAAUUAUAAAUGUAGUGUAAGGUUUCGGAUAGAGAACUUGGAGAGAGAAGAGGGAGACAGACAGACAGCUUGAUAGGAAUUUUAUAUGUUUUAUGGAUCAAAUGGAUGGUAUUAUCUAUCAUAAACUAAGGGGGUGCAUGGGCAAAAUAUAAGAUUUUCUCAGAUUGUGUCAUUUGACUAUAUGAUUGGAAAGGUUUUAACAAUCACGUGUUUAAUGUGAAUUCUUAAUCCAGUAUAAUAAAUUACCAAUCAUGGUAGCCUCAUAUUUCAACACAAAUAAAAAGAUGUAAAAUCAAUAACAAUUAAAAGUUUCAAGGGUUUGCCAUGUAAUAUGUUUAUACUAUUCAGUGAUUAAAUUUUAAUAGAAUGAAAUAAACCUUAUAUCUUUUGUUUCUUAUUGGAACAAUUGUACGUAGCAGUAAUCAAGAUAAAGAAUCACCUGGACUAUGGUAACUAGUUUUGGAAGAGGAGUGCAGCUAUUGCUCAAAGCUGCUUAAAAACUUUUCUGAUCUACUCAGAUUUGUGGUAUUAUUAUGCCACGAAAAAUAUCCAAAUUGUUAAUAUAUGAUACUAAAGAUGGAUCAAAGAUGACAGUAGACCUAUAGUUUCCUCUCAUGAAGAUUUGGUGUAUUUUAGAUGGAGAAAAGUGAAGAUAAAAGUGCAUUGCAGUACUGCAGUCAUUUUAUAAAUAACAAGACGCCCAUGGUGUUACUAUUUUGGGAUUUUACUGUGACAUGAACAGUAUCCUGAUGACAGCACUAUAAUAAGUUGUAUUUUCCCCUUCUGUUUUGCAGUAUGAUGCUUUCGAAAUUGGUUUUAUCACCACAGAUGACUUCACAAAUGCAGACAUUCUUGAAGCAACUUAUCCGGCUGUUGCAAAGAGUUUGCAUGGAGACUGGAUCAGUGAUCCUGCAAUUCCUAUUGUUACCGGCUUCCUUGGAAAGGUCUUUGCCCUAGCUAAUUGCUCAGCAGGACACCUUGUUUGUGAAAUUAAUGAACUCAGUUUUAGUGAGAGUUUCUGGAUAGCUCAUCAUAGUGUUUUUUUAUAUUUCUAAUUGCAGGGAUGGAGAUCCUGUGCUAUUACUACAUUAGGUCGUGGUGGUAGUGAUUUGACAGCCACAACCAUUGGAAAAGCAUUAGGUUUGAGUGAGAUUCAGGUAAUUGCAGACACUGAAGUUUGCAAUACAUAGUGCAGCUCCAAGGAAUUUUUCCAUAACUUCCCCUCCCAAAUACAACAAAUCGCAUCAAUAUUAAGUCCUCCAUUUGUUUAUUUAGUCAGAUUUUAUUAAUUAAUAUAAAAAGCUAAAGAGAAAGCUGACCAUUAAAAACACAAGAUCCAGUAACCUGAACAACAUCACAAGUCUGUUCAUCUAGGAGACAAGUGAUGGCUGAACUCACUAAAGCACCAUUACCUCAAGCACCACAGGAAAGAAAGCCCAAAACCCAAGAAUAAACUCUGGUGUCUGCCACAAGAAAUCAUAGCAAAAAGCAAGAUCAUUCCCCCCCCCCCCUCCCCCACUCCAGCUGCUGUCAUUAUCCUCUUGUCACUCAGCCUUAAUUCCCGCAGCUCUAGUUUUCUUAAAAUGCCAAUACAACCACCAACACUACCAUCACCUUUGGCACCAACAUCAGCACUACCUCAAUACUGCAGCCUAAUCUACCAGCGAACACAAACACCAAUACACCCACACCACUUUGCAGUUAGUCAAUACCACCACCUAAGUCCUCAUAGCCUAGCCCUCCAAAACCAUAAAACCACCAAUCUAAACAACACCACCACUCCCAAACCACCAGCACCACCACUCAAUCCUCAAUGACUGCUGCCCAUCAUAUUCAGCAACACAAGAAAUCACACCACCUUCUCCACAACCCGAGACCAUUGACUCCACCAGCCUUACCGCCACCUCACUACCAGUCAAAAUACCAAAGCACUAACACCUCCAGUGAAACCCAAAUGUAAAGCAUAAAAUGCCAUAGAUGGUUUUAAUUUCAAGCAAGAGAGGGAAGAAAAGGAGGACAGGAAACCUAGAUCCAAGAACAAGGAUAGGAAACUCAGAUCUGAAGACUAUCAAAAUUAUGAAAAAAGUGAGAGAGAAGAGAAUAGAGACAGAAGGAGAGGAACCAACUAGAACUAAUAUUCACUGUUUUUCCAUAAUCCAUACAGAUAUUGGGAAAAGAUGGCCGUGUCUCAACUGCAUGCACAUGCUUGACAUUAUUCCUGUUUCUUAUAUUUUCUGUGACUGUCUUUCUUCAUUCAAGUGCAUUUACAAAUGAAAUGUAAGCAUGCAAGAGAAUGCUUUUUCUGGAAAAUAUAGAACUGUGCUGAAUUUGAUGGAAGCCUCUUAAAUCUAUUUCUGUAGAAAUUACAUUUUUUUUUAUUGAAAUCAGAUUAAUACUUUUAUCUAUUAUAGGUGUGGAAGGAUGUUGAUGGUGUUUUGACAUGUGAUCCUAAUAUAUAUCCACAUGCUGAACCUGUGCCAUACUUGACAUUUGAUGAGGCAGCAGAACUAGCAUAUUUUGGCGCGCAGGUAUCAUAAUUUAACUUUACAUUUCCCUUUUUUUGGCCCUGGGGGGGGCCCUUUUUUUGGCUUUGGGGGGGGGGGGGGGGUGGAUGAGCAAAUUCUAGCGGAAGUAGAAACAGACAGCCUAAGCAAGCAUGUCUUCUCUAACCUUUUUGUUUGUACAUUUCUGCAGGUCUUGCAUCCGCAAUCCAUGAGGCCUGCCAGGGAGGCUGAUAUUCCUGUUAGGGUUAAAAAUUCUUACAAUCCGAAUGCUCCUGGAACUCUUAUCACCAGAGCACGAGAUAUGAGUAAGGUUUGUAUUUGAUGAUUUUAAAUGAUUGUAAUGUGAAGAACUUAGAAUAAAAUUAAUCUUUCUUUGUCCUAAUUUCAGGCAGUACUAACUAGCAUUGUUUUGAAACGGAAUGUUACUAUGUUGGAUAUUGCUAGCACCCGCAUGCUUGGCCAAUUUGGUUUUCUUGCUAAGGUUAGCAGCUAAAAUUGGAUUCUGAUCCCUCUUUCCCUCAAAUAUGCCAGCUGUUGGUUUAUGCUUCUCAUUGCUAUAAAUUUUAUCCUUUCAGGUGUUUUCAACCUUUGAAGAUUUGGGAAUAUCAGUGGAUGUUGUAGCUACCAGCGAAGUCAGUAUCUCCUUGACACUCGAUCCAUCAAAGCUUUGGAGUAGAGAGCUGAUUCAGCAGGCAAGCGUAUGGUGUCUUUAUUUUAGUUAUGAUUUAUAUAUUGGUAUUAUUCUCCAGCAUGAUAUAUUAUUCGUGUCUACUCUUGGCAUUCAAUCUCAUCUGUUGUUGUAUUCCUUAAACAGGAACUCGACCAUGUUGUUGAGGAGCUUGAGAAAAUUGCUGUAGUCAAUCUCCUGCAGCGUAGAUCAAUAAUCUCUCUCAUUGGGAAUGUCCAGAGGUCCUCUCUGAUAUUAGAGAAGGUGCUCCAUUGCACUUUUCUUCUUGGUUUUUGAUGAGAUGUGUCUUUUGAAAACUUGUUUCUGCUUUGGGUGAAAAAAGGAUUCUUUUUUUUUUCCUCCUGUCCUCUAACUACAAAUCUAUUCAAGUAUCAUCUAGAUUGCUUUUGUUCGGUGAUGAGAAUCCUGUCUCUUCUUUUGGAUCUUUUAGUUUUUGUCCCCCUCAUUCUCUUGAAGUCUAACAUGUUGGGUUAGUGAAUCAUGGUAAAUGCUUUGUUAAAAUUGAUAAAACCGAACCAGCAGCAACUUCAAAAUGAUGAAGUGGGAUAGAUAGAUUUUUUUAAAAAAUGCUUUUCAGUCAUUUUUUUUUUUUAAAAAAUCAUAGCUCAGCAUAAAUCUUACAUGACCUGGAAGGAAGUUUCAAAGGACACUUGGUUGUUAUAUUGAAGCAUAGUCUUAUGCUACAACUUUUUUCUUAAUAUAUUUCACAGCAGUGUUUGGAAUGCUGUGGUGAAGGGUUUGAACCUCAUCUUUCUAUUUAUUUGCCUCUUCAUUUCUGUUAAUUAUUGGAUUGAUGUCAUGGCAGGCCUUCCAUGUUCUUCGUACUCUUGGAGUCAAUGUUCAGAUGAUAUCACAGGGUGCUUCGAAGGUAUCACAUCUCGACUAUGAUUUCCUUUGCAUGUCUUUUUUAGUAUGUAAUGCACAUUUUACAGCUUUAGAACCCAAGAAUAGGCUUGUGAGCACCUCUCAUGCACAUUAUAUUCCUUCAAAGGAUCCAGGAGCCGCCUUAAAUGGGGGCAUCCGGCUCAUUAAGCGUGGAGCUCGAAUGCUUCUAAGCGGUUUGAUGAUUGUCGUGAUCAAGUAACUCGCCAUUUUGGUUUUUUCUUACCAGGUUAAUAUCUCAUUAAUUGUGAAUGACGAUGAAGCAGAGCAGUGUGUCAAGAGUCUCCACAAAGCUUUCUUUGAAACUGACAUCUCUGAAUUAGAGUGGGAGUGUGUAUCUGGUAAUGGUUCUGCCUCAACAUGAUGAAGUCGUCAUUGAUUCUUUUUUCUAUUAGAUUUCUUAAUUACAAUGAGAAUGUGUUGGCAAUGUCUGUCUCAACAUGAUCAUGAUCAUUGAUUUUCCUGUUUUAAUCCUUUUGACCUAGAUAUUCAUUCAAUAUCUGAUUUUACAUAGAUCAGGGAAUUGUUUCCCUCCUAAGAUUAAGAUGUAGCCAAUUUUGUACGUUGAAUCCCUCCAGGGUUGAUCUAGCCAAGUUUGGACUGAUCGAGUGGAUCAAUUAGACUUGAUUUGAUUAAUAUUUUUUUUGGAUCAAAUUAAAACUCGGACUGGAUCGGACUCUAAAUUAUGAAUUUUUUGGGUCACUUUACUGGUCCGGACCGAGUUUAAUAACUAUUUCAAAAUAUAUAAAAUAUCUGCAAGAACUGCAUUCUGGAUUUUAUUUGCUUUUGUGAUAGCCAUCUAGUUGUUCUAGAAUAGAAGGAAAUUUUUUUUAAGAUGUUUUAAUUAUAUCAAUAGUUUAUUUUGUUAUUUUUAAUUAAUUGUAAAAUAACUUUUAGUCUUUACAUAGAUGAUAUAUCAUUGAUGAAAAGAGAUUAUGCCUUAAUAUGGCAUAUUUUAGAUUUUAAAAAGCAUUUAUUUUAUUUUAAAAUAUUUCUAUUUAUUGAAAAUAAUCAUAUUUUAGAAGGUACUUUUACUAAAAAGCCACAAAUUAUAUAAUAUAAGAAUGGGUUAGAACCCACAAAUUUUAUUUAUAUUUAAAUUCAUUUUGAGUUUGUAGGUUAGAAGUGGAGUUAUUGAGGAGGUUUCUAUGGUUUUUUUUUCAGGUGUUUUUAGGUGAAAAAUAGGUUCAAAGUUGGGUUUUCGGAUCCAAAUUUCCCAGGCCCUAAUUUUUUCGAUCAUUGAAUAUAGUCGAAAUUUGUUUUAAUAGAGUAAACAUUAUCUGUCUAAAUAGACGACGUGUUAUUUAUUUGUUUGUUUUUAAAAAGAAGCAAACAAACAAUGUCGUCUGCUUGAGUUAAAAAAACACACGCGGACUUGGACUUUUGAGUUCAUGGGCGCACUUAGACUCUUACCUUUUUAGGGUCAGGCCAUGGGCCUCAUCGUCUAAGAAAGCUCAAGAGCCUAGGCUUGACAAUGUUGGCUUUUCCUUUCUCUUUCUUUCUCCUAAGUUAAUUGUUUUUGGAAUAUUUUUUAUAUUUUUUUAACAUUCUAAAUUAAAUCCUUUUUGUAAUAAAGCAAUUACAAUGAUAGUUUAAAAAUCACAUGAUGAUACCUUGCUUUUCAAAUAAGUAAGUUCGAAGGUUUUAAUAGUAAUGUUAAUAAUUAUUUUAUAAAUAAUUAUAUGUGAAACUAAUAUGUAUAUUUUUUUUAAAAAAUCUCUCAUAAAUAUUUAAUGAUACUUAAAUAACUUUUUUUAUUAUAAAAUAUUUUUUAUUUUUUAAAAAUUAACUAUUCCUUUAUUUUCAUAUUCAUACUAUAAAUUUAUCAAAAUAUAAUUUUUAAUUUCUUUUCUAUUCGAACUUAUUUUUCAAAUCAGGAUAAGUCUUUAUAAAAAACCAUACUAUUAAUAAAAAAAUAAUUAUAUAUAUAUUAAAAAAGAAACACUUAAACAAAAACAAAUUUAGCUAGAGGAACUUUUUGAAAAGAUUUAUAGAAAAAAAUAGUUUAAUCGAAUUGGCCUCAACAAUUUCUUGAAAAAAAUUAAUUAUAACUUUUUUGAAACUUUUUCAUGUCAAAAAUGCAUUGUUUCUUAAUUUGUUAUGAAAAUAAUUAUGUCUUCAUGUAUCAUAUAAAUUGACUUAUGUACACAUACCAAAGUUUUAUUUUAUAAUACAAAAUUUAAAAUUAAAGAAAUAAAAAUUAAUAGCAUAAAUACUACCGUGGGAAUAACAAGAAACAACUUCUAUAUUAUGGUAUCUCGGACAUCACUUAGAAUCAAGAUUGUCAAUUCUGUUUUUGAUAAGUAUUUUUAUUUAUUAAUUGAAACGUCACUUCGAGAUUGUAAUAUAUAUAUAUAUAUAUAUAUAUAUAUAUAUAUAUAUAUUAAUUUCAGCUAUUACAUCAAUGCGAUUAUUAAAGUAAAAUGGAACUUGAACAUCACAGAUGCCAAUCAAGAUCACUGGCCCAAUCAAGUCAAUCAUAAAGUAUAAACAGUGUAUUCUCCAUGUGUGUGUGUGUGUGUGUAAUUGACUGGUAAGCUCAUGGCUUGCAAAUACAAGGACAUAGGUCAGAGUCUUGUAGGCACCCGCUUCAUCAGGAAGAAAAUAUAAUGAAAGAAAUGAUGAAGUGAGGAAUUCAAUUGCCCGCUCCUUCAAUACCAUUUUAGAAGGUUCAAGAUAGUUUCAUGAACUAAUAAUCUCAAACUGAAGACUUCAACCACCGUGCUAUGCAAUAACAUCCAGACAUGUAACCACAGUAUAGUUAUUCCACCACUUUUAUCAAUACAAUUGUUAAUUAUACUUGAUCAUAAAGUUCAUGAACAAGCCAAUUUACCUUAGAUUGCUAAUCCUAGAGACUAUAGAAUCCGAACUGUGGUUGGAAUGUGACUUCAGUGAUGGUGAUAGUGCUGGUAAUCAUUAUGAUGAACAUAUAGAUAUGCUCAAGUUCCGAUCAAAGACCGCACAAGGGAAUGGAAUUACGAGCAGAGAUUUUUCAAAUUGAAUUAAAAAUUUAAAACCACUCGUACCUUGAGGAUCUGAGUAUUUAUGGUCUAUGCAGAAAGUUUAAUACUGUUGAACUUCCAAGACGCUAGAAUAAAGAUACUGGAAAGUUCAAUGCAUCUAGAAAGAAGGUUCCAGAUAGCUUUGUAACAGAAGCCAUUUAUGAUCAAAAUACACUGCAUCUAAGAACUUCUUUCAACUCUAAGAUGAACUGAAAUACCACUCUAAAUCAAUUCUUGCACACACCUCCUUAAGAAAGCUUAGAUUACUAGAUCAAAGUUCCAAGAUUGUACCUUAUAAAGAACAGACAAGAGCCAGGGAUGGAAGGCGGAAGGUGAUGUUGCGGCAGUGCAGCAUGCAAGACAGCAAGAGAGAAGAGGGAAGAUUGGAGGGGGAGGUUGUGAAAGACAAGAUGCUGAUUGUAAUUGUUUUGGUUGGGAACUUGAGAUGAGACUGUGCGAGGAAGAGAAAUUAGGGAUUGGUUUUUGGUACAGACUUCAAACUUGAGAGAAGAAGAGCUUUUAUACGUAGGUGGUUUAGUUAAUGAAAUCGAACUUUAAGCCCGAAACGGUAUAUAUGGAAGGAGACUGGAAAGUUCUGCCUGAAAUUUGUCUGGAAAUUUCUGGAAUAAGAGACCGAGAUUUUAAGUGAGGUGAAAAUUAUUCUGUUUUGUUUCAUUUCUUGAACUGGUACGAGAUGUUCCGGUCAUUCCGGCCGAAAUGGAACGAAUUUAUAAAGAAUUCGUUUCAGACAACCCGAUCUCAUAAAUAUCCAAACCCGAAUCCGCCCCGUUUUAUAAAAUAUCCAAACCCGUAACCUCCCCGGCUAAAGUAUAAAAACCAAAACACAC